GAUGAACGCUGGCGGCGUGCUUAACACAUGCAAGUCGAACGAUGAAGCCCAGCUUGCUGGGUGGAUUAGUGGCGAACGGGUGAGUAACACGUGAGUAACCUGCCCUUGACUCUAGGAUAAGCCCGGGAAACUGGGUCUAAUACUGGAUAGGAACGUCUACCGCAUGGUGGGUGUUGGAAAGAAUUUCGGUCAUGGAUGGACUCGCGGCCUAUCAGCUUGUUGGUGAGGUAAUGGCUCACCAAGGCGACGACGGGUAGCCGGCCUGAGAGGGUGACCGGCCACACUGGGACUGAGACACGGCCCAGAGUCAUACGGGAGGCAGCAGUGGGGAAUAGUGCAAAAUGGGCGAAAGCCGGAUGGAGCGACGCCGCGUGAGGGAUGACGGCCUUCGGGUUGUAAACCUCUUUCAGUAGGGAAGAAGCGAAAGUGACGGUACCUGCAGAAGAAGCACCGGCUAACUACGU
Molecule: ribosomal RNA, 464 nt
Filed under: uncultured bacterium
Lineage: Bacteria
Description: partial 16S ribosomal RNA
Rfam family: Bacterial small subunit ribosomal RNA
Source: RNAcentral